CAGGUUGAAGGUGCGGUAAAACGCACUGGAGGACCGAACCAGGGCACGUUGAAAAGUGCUUGGAUGACUUGUGGGUAGCGGAGAAAUUCCAAACGAACUUGGAGAUAGCUGGUUCUCUCCGAAAUAGCUUUAGGGCUAGCGUCGACAUAGAGAUUCUUGGAGGUAGAGCACUGUUUGGGUGAGGGGUCCAUCCCGGAUUACCAAUCUCAGAUAAACUCCGAAUGCCAAUGAAUUAUGGUCGGCAGUCAGACUGCGAGUGCUAAGAUCCGUAGUCGAAAGGGAAACAGCCCAGACCACCAGCUAAGGUCCCAAAAUAAUUGUUAAGUGGAAAAGGAUGUGGGGUUGCACAGACAACUAGGAUGUUAGCUUAGAAGCAGCUAUUCAUUCAAAGAGUGCGUAAUAGCUCACUAGUCGAGUGACCCUGCGCCGAAAAUGUACCGGGGCUAAAACAAUUUACCGAAGCUGUGGAUACCUUUAUAGGUAUGGUAGGAGAGCGUUCUAUGUGUGAUGAAGGUGUACCGUGAGGAGUGCUGGAACGCAUAGAAGUGAGAAUGCCGGUAUGAGUAGCGAAAGACAGGUGAGAAUCCUGUCCACCGUAAGACUAAGGUUUCCAGGGGAAGGCUCGUCCGCCCUGGGUUAGUCGGGACCUAAGGAGAGACCGAAAGGUGUAUCCGAUGGACAACAGGUUGAUAUUCCUGUACUAGAGUAUGUAGUGAUGGAGGGACGCAGUAGGCUAACUAAAGCAGACGAUUGGAAGUGUCUGUCUAAGCAGUGAGGUGUGAUAUGAGUCAAAUGCUUAUAUCUAUAACAUUGAGCUGUGAUGGGGAGCGAAGUUUAGUAGCGAAGUUAGUGACGUCACACUGCCAAGAAAAGCUUCUAGCGUUAAACAUACUCUACCCGUACCGCAAACCGACACAGGUAGUCGAGGCGAGUAGCCUCAGGUGAGCGAGAGAACUCUCGUUAAGGAACUCGGCAAAAUGACCCCGUAACUUCGGGAGAAGGGGUGCUGGUAGCAAUACCAGCCGCAGUGAAUAGGCCCAGGCGACUGUUUAUCAAAAACACAGGUCUCUGCAAAAUCGAAAGAUGACGUAUAGGGGCUGACGCCUGCCCGGUGCUGGAAGGUUAAGAGGAGAGGUUAGCCGCAAGGCGAAGCUUUGAAUUGAAGCCCCAGUAAACGGCGGCCGUAACUAUAACGGUCCUAAGGUAGCGAAAUUCCUUGUCGGGUAAGUUCCGACCCGCACGAAAGGCGUAACGAUUUGGGCACUGUCUCAACGAUGGACUCGGUGAAAUCAUAGUACCUGUGAAGAUGCAGGUUACCCGCGACAGGACGGAAAGACCCCAUGGAGCUUUACUGUAGUUUGAUAUUGAGUGUUUGUGUCACAUGUACAGGAUAGGUAGGAGCUGAAGAAUCCGGGACGCCAGUUUCGGAGGAGGCAACGGUGGGAUACUACCCUUGUGACAUGACCACUCUAACCCGCACCCCUUACCGGGGUGGGAGACAGUGUCAGACGGGCAGUUUGACUGGGGCGGUCGCCUCCUAAAAUGUAACGGAGGCGCCCAAAGGUUCCCUCAGAAUGGUUGGAAAUCAUUCGAAGAGUGUAAAGGCAGAAGGGAGCUUGACUGCGAGACCAACAAGUCGAGCAGGGACGAAAGUCGGGCUUAGUGAUCCGGUGGUACCGAAUGGAAGGGCCAUCGCUCAACGGAUAAAAGCUACCCUGGGGAUAACAGGCUUAUCUCCCCCAAGAGUUCACAUCGACGGGGAGGUUUGGCACCUCGAUGUCGGCUCAUCGCAUCCUGGGGCUGUAGUCGGUCCCAAGGGUUGGGCUGUUCGCCCAUUAAAGCGGUACGCGAGCUGGGUUCAGAACGUCGUGAGACAGUUCGGUCCCUAUCCGUCGCGGGCGUAGGAAAUUUGAGAGGAUCUGCUCCUAGUACGAGAGGACCAGAGUGGACUUACCGCUGGUGUACCAGUUGUUCUGCCAAGAGCAUCGCUGGGUAGCUAUGUGUGGACGGGAUAAACGCUGAAAGCAUCUAAGCGUGAAGCCCCCCUCGAGAUGAGAUUUCCCAUCAUUUUAAAUGAGUAAGACCCCUGAGAGACGAUCAGGUAGAUAGGCUAGAAGUGGAAGUGCCGCGAGGCAUGGAGCGGACUAGUACUAAUCGGUCGAGGACUUAACCAC
Molecule: ribosomal RNA, 2174 nt
Filed under: human oral metagenome
Description: bacterial LSU rRNA
Rfam family: Bacterial large subunit ribosomal RNA
Source: RNAcentral